This is a long non-coding RNA of Saccostrea echinata, 224 nucleotides long. RefSeq lists it as uncharacterized. The transcript has 3 exons. Lineage: Eukaryota; Metazoa; Mollusca; Bivalvia; Ostreida; Ostreidae. The record is from RefSeq and is a predicted model, not a curated record.
AAAGAUGAAGACUUCCAUUAUACUCCACAUUUCAAAUUGGAAAGUGGCGGAAUUCAUGAUCCUUAUAUGCACCAUCAAAUGAAUGACAAAACCUCCAUUCGCACACAUGAUCAGCUACAAUAUGCUCCACAUUUCAAACUAGAAAAGGCUGGAAUGCAUGAUCGUCAUAUGCAUGAUUAAAAGAUUUCAAACAGAACUUAUGGAUGGAAGAAAGACGCAAGCAA